This 24-nucleotide non-coding RNA is filed under the name Cricetulus griseus (Chinese hamster). Lineage: Eukaryota; Metazoa; Chordata; Mammalia; Rodentia; Cricetidae. The record is from RNAcentral.
AAGACUGAAAAUGAACACUUUUUU